CCCGCCACGCGGGUGCGGCGUUCCUCGGAGGAUGUGAAGGUCCGCGCUCGGGUGCCCCCGCUGGGACGCCCACUGUCGUUUGGUGCUGGGGCUUGAGACGACCGCGCGGGAUCUCUUCCUGUGAUUUUGAGCUGAUAGCUGCUUAGUGUUAUUUCUGCGUCUAACUGGAUACGGUAGUCUUCUCUCCCAAAUUCCCGGGCUACGGAAGAGACGUAAAAAAAUGGAAAAAAGAGCACCUAGCCGCGACUUCUUAAGUCGUCGCGCUAGACUGUCAAGGCACGUGGCACACUCCCUGCGUUUACCGAUACACGGAUAGUGGUCAGUGCUGGCCUUGGCGAAGGGAGCCAUGUUCCCGACAGUGACUCACAGGCUUGCCCAAAUACGGAGUGUGGCAGGUGGGCAGGACCUCCACCAGCCAGCUCCCUCCUGGUCUCCUUGAACUACGUGGGGGCUGGGCCGAGUGCCUCCACGACUUUCCACUUCUUUUUGCUCCUUUCGUUUUUAAAAAGCAAAAACCAAAGUAAAGAGAAGAGCAGAGUGAACACCCAGGUACCAUCCCUAGUGUCUGCCAUGAGCAGCAGAUCUAUCUACUCGCCAAGAUUGUCUUUUCUACCUUUCCCCUUCUUGCACAGUUAAUAUCAUAAUAACGCAAGUCAUAUUUAAAAAAUUUUUAUCACCUAUCAGUUGAGUUUUUGGAAAGCCUUCCAGGGCAGCGUUGUGGUUUUGAACGCACUCUUGUUCGUGAUUUAUCUGGUAGUACAGCUCUGCUGACAAGGCUCUGAAAACUCAGACGUACAAUAUGGGCUUAGCGUGUUCCCCGACACCAUCUUCCCGGUGCUGACUAAUGCAAGAACCACAUCCCCUCCACUACACAUUUUCCAAACUUGACUACCUUCAUGAGAACAAAUCCUGAUUUUAGUUUAUAAUUUCCACUUUUCUCAUACAUAUAUAAUAAUUCAAGAUGUGGUCUUACUAUGUUGUCCAGGUUGGCCUGGAACUCCUGGGCUCAAAGGAUCCUCCGGCCACAGCCUCCCUGGUAGUGGAAUUACAGGCGCAUGCCACUGUGCCUGGCCACUUUUCUCAAAUUUACUGAUAGUUUCCUUUUUGCCCAAACCUUACAAUGCUUAUUUGUAGCUUUGAGAACCUCUCUUAGAUGAAAUCAAAAUCAUAUCCAUAUUAGUUGCCUUUUUGGGGUCAGAAAUGCAGCUAUUGUCUAGAAAUCCAGGGCUGUCCUGCAUAAUCUACCCUCCCCUUCACGUGUUCUGACCUUGUUCUGCAUUUUGAAUAAUUUCAUGGAAUUUCAAAGCCGUUGUAGUAAAUGUCUUUCUUUAAAGACAACUCGACCUUCAAGACAGGUAAAGAACGUGCCUGGAGCCACCCCAGGCAGUGAUGCUGGAGGAGUUCUCUCAACCUGGAAACUUAUUCUUUAUGCUGAAUUUUGAAAUCGAAUGCUCCUAUAUUUACUUGGAGUAUUUUAGAUUGUGUAUGUAUUAUAUCUGUGCAUCAUUCAUUGUUACCAUCUAACUUGGAAAUCAGAGGAAGUGUGAAAGGUAUCUGAGAUACCAGCUUAGAAAACAACUCUUUAGCUCCUCCUGGUGAUUAGGACACCACUAAACAACAGGAUGAAGGAUCUGUCCCCAGGGCCGAAGUGAUGAUGUAUCUAAUAUUAUAUCCUAGAACAUUCACAGAGUAGCUGCAGAAUGUCUUGAGCUGGAACAUCCCCAAGAGGCCAUAUAUAUAUCCCAGGGAUUUUACAGUGGACCUCACUAGGCCGGAGUAACUGUAAAGUCAGAUGGAUAAUGAGAAUUCAGGACGUUAGCCACACGUGGACUGUGGCAAAAAGAAAGUGACCCACUGAAGAAGACUGUUUUUCAGCUCUCUCAUCAAUUGCUGUUUCCAGGAGCCCACAGCUCCAAUUACUCAAAAGAACGUUGACUUUUUUUUUUUUGGUAAAAUAUCCUGAUUUUCAGGUUAGGCAAGCAAUUCAUUAAAAAAUAAAAGACU
RNAcentral lists this long non-coding RNA (2004 nucleotides) under Homo sapiens (human). Its description in RNAcentral is "HSALNT0353661". The record is from RNAcentral. Lineage: Eukaryota; Metazoa; Chordata; Mammalia; Primates; Hominidae.